AGGUAGCCUAGUGGUUAGAGAGGCAGGUAGCCUAGUGGUUAGAGGAGGCAGGUAGCCUAGUGGUUAGAGGAGGCAGGUAGCCUAGUGGUUAGAGGAGGCAGGUAGCCUAGUGGUUAGAGGAGGCAGGUAGCCUAGUGGUUAGCGGAGGCAGGUAGCCUAGUGGUUAGCGGAGGCAGGUAGCCUAGUGGUUAGCGGAGGCAGGUAGCCUAGUGGUUAGCGGAGGCAGGUAGCCUAGUGGUUAGCGGAGGCAGGUAGCCUAGUGGUUAGCGGAGGCAGGUAGCCUAGUGGUUAGCGGAGGCAGGUAGCCUAGUGGUUAGAGGCAGGUAGCCUAGUGGUUAGAGGCAGGUAGCCUAGUGGUUAGAGGCAGGUAGCCUAGUGGUUAGAGGCAGGUAGCCGAGUGGU
Molecule: long non-coding RNA, 402 nt
Organism: Oncorhynchus keta (chum salmon)
Lineage: Eukaryota; Metazoa; Chordata; Actinopteri; Salmoniformes; Salmonidae
Exons: 3
Source: RefSeq, a predicted model, not a curated record